ACAUAUCUGAAGUGUUUAGUGGAGCAAAA
Molecule: non-coding RNA, 29 nt
Filed under: Homo sapiens (human)
Lineage: Eukaryota; Metazoa; Chordata; Mammalia; Primates; Hominidae
Source: RNAcentral